This is a non-coding RNA of Gossypium raimondii (Peruvian cotton), 144 nucleotides long. The record is from Rfam. Lineage: Eukaryota; Viridiplantae; Streptophyta; Magnoliopsida; Malvales; Malvaceae.
UGUUAAAAAUUUUAUUUAUCUCUACUAUUAAAACUAGUCUAGCUGACUGAGUAACCAAAUAGUUAUAUGUGGUGUGCCACGUGUACUUCAUCUAGACAUACAGAGACAGGUUUUUAACAAUAAAAAUGAAUAGAACUUUUAAUA